GGAAGAUUUUGAAGAAUAUGCUGCAAAAGCUAAAACUUUACUUGAAAAUACUACUAACGGGAACAAAUUGAUCCUCUAUGGGCUUUGCAAAAGAGCAAAUGUUGGACCAGUGAAAACUAGCUGACCUGGUAUAUGCGAUAUGAGGGACAGAGCCAAGUGGGAUGCUUGGAAGGUUGUUGAAGGGAAGGAAGUCAAAGGAGGUGGCUAUGAGUGACUACAUCACAAAGGUUAAAUAGCUGCUCAAGGCAGCUGCACAUCUUGCUCUUUGUAGUACCAUGUAAGCUGUUACCUUCUAUCUUCAACUCGAAUCAUCCAGUGGAUGUUUUUGUUAUGGAUUUCAUCUCCUUUUGUGUCUUAACAAUUGACAGUAUCUGAAAUCUAAUGUAGUGUCUUAUUAUUUCAUUAGUGUUUCAUUCGAAUUAAGAUGCAUGCGGAUGUCGAGUUUUUAGGUCAGGAAUGCUAAGUGUGGGCAUGUUGAAUAAGCAUUACCUGCAGCCCAUAUAUUUAGUGAAGCUUCAUUGAUUCCCAGUAAGACUGUAAAUUGUCUGUUAGGUUCUGUUCAUUUUUCUCUUCGGUCCUACAUGCUAGAGAUCUUUUAUCUUUGUUCAGUUUCUUCCCCUUAAAACCUAGGCGAUCUGUGAUAAAAUUUUAUUGGAAAUUUAAUAGUAAUGAGUGUAUAUAACCUUGAAAUGAAAAGGAGGCUUUUUAUAGUUGUCUUCCUAUAGUCUGAUUAUUUAGUCUAACAGUCCUGGUAGAAAAAUCCUGUAUAUUUUAUCCGAUCUUCUGCUAUGACUUUUGGGUUUCUUUCUACAUCCAAAUUUGUAUAGAAUGUGUUUUGUGAAAGGCAUGGAUAGUUGUAAUGCAGACAUUGAUCGAGUGUUUUAUCUUUCAGUAUGCCAUCUGACGUUUAUUUGCUUAUGGUCUCUUAAAUAUCUCUGUCAAGCAUAGUAUUGGUUUUGAUCACGUUGGCCUCAAAACUGUGAUAGUUUUCUCUAAUAGACUCGAUUGCUCAAAAGGAAAUUUGC
Musa acuminata subsp. malaccensis (wild Malaysian banana) is the source of this 1025-nucleotide non-coding RNA. NCBI's taxonomy places the organism in Eukaryota, Viridiplantae, Streptophyta, Magnoliopsida, Zingiberales, Musaceae. The record is from RefSeq and is a predicted model, not a curated record.